CUCUCGCUCUCUCGCGCGCGCGCUCGCUCUCUCCACAGACAAAGACUGGGGCAGCAGUCCGCGUCCGAGAAGGGGAGGUCGAAAUGGACAAUGAUUCCCAGCAUGGCGCGGCACCAACAUGGUCUUCUAAAAGCGUCGGGCACGAUCUCAUGAGGACGGGGAUUAGAUCGUUUGCCGAUGUUCUGUUCGGUAGAAUGCCAACGAGAGAGGGAGGAGGAGUUCUGGUACCCCGUCCCGCAGGCGCAGCACAAUUCUACAGCUCACGGAUCAUGCCCUCGAAGCCGACCUCUGUCGGUGUCAUCGCGUCGGAUCUUCCAGUGGCGAUCUUUGUCGGCGUCGUGGAAGGCGACACGGCACAUCGUGAAGGUUUGGGCCUUUUCGGUUCCUCCAUUAAGCUGACGACGCUUUGUUGGUAAGCUAUCCGGUGAGCUCUCUUGGGAGGAGAAGGGAGGGAGGCUCCAGAGGGCGAAGAAAUCCCCCCCACCUAAUCCAAGAGAGAAGGGGAAGCAGCACACCAUGUGAGUGUGGGACGUCCGACGGGCCCAUGUCUCCCCACAGCUUUGCAGCAACAGCCAACAGAGCUGCUUGUCUUCACGGAUGCUGAUGGCCAUCACCUCAUCCGCUAGCUAGCUAGCUAGCUCUGAACUGGCUGUUGCAUGCAUCCCCAGAUUCCCAGGCAGCAGUGGCGGUAGGAGCGGUACUUCGUGGGAGCAUUCAUCCAUUGCCGUUCCUCUUUGUGUUUCCAUGACUGCGUCCUCCCAGUUGAGGAUAGAGGUCGAAGACCUUUUUCACCAUGACCGGCAUUGCAUGGCUGGAUUCCUCCAUGCGAUGGAGUGUGUCAUUGGGUCCACACGUUCAUCUCUUUUGCGAACGUCCUCUGUUCUCCAUCCAUGACAGAGGGUGCGACAGUGACUACUCCACCAUCCACACUGUCUUUAGUAGCUCGGUUUCGGUUCAGGUUGGGUCAGAUUUAGAAUCAGAAGGUUUCUAUUUCGAUUUUGAAGCAUGUAAUCUUUUUAAUUGAUUCCAUCAUAUGUUUAGAUUGUAUCUUCUCCUUCAUUUGGAUUUAGUUUCA
Long non-coding RNA from Musa acuminata AAA Group (dessert banana), 1075 nucleotides. RefSeq lists it as uncharacterized. The transcript is spliced from 2 exons. NCBI's taxonomy places the organism in Eukaryota, Viridiplantae, Streptophyta, Magnoliopsida, Zingiberales, Musaceae. The record is from RefSeq and is a predicted model, not a curated record.